This 426-nucleotide ribosomal RNA is filed under the name uncultured bacterium. RNAcentral's name for it is "partial 16S ribosomal RNA". It matches the Rfam family "Bacterial small subunit ribosomal RNA", at positions 354 to 796 of the family's 1533-position model. The record is from RNAcentral.
GUGAGGAAUUUUCCGCAAUGGGCGAAAGCCUGACGGAGCAAUGCCGCGUGAAGGAUGAAGGCCUAUGGGUUGUAAACUUCUUUUCUCAGAAAAGAAUUAUGACGGUAUCUGAGGAAUAAGCAUCGGCUAACUCUGUGCCAGCAGCCGCGGUAAGACAGAGGAUGCAAGCGUUAUCCGGAAUGAUUGGGAGUAAAGCGUCUGUAGGUUGUUUAAAAAGUAUUCUGUCAAAGAUUAGGGCUUAACCCUAGAUAGGCAGAAUAAACUUUUAAGCUAGAGUUUGGUAGAGGCAGAGGGAAUUCCCGGUGGCGCGGUGAAAUGCGUAGAUAUCGGGAGGAACACCAAAGGCGAAGGCACACUGCUGGGCCAAUACUAACACUGAGAGACGAAAGCGAGGGGAGCAAAUGGGAUUAGAAACCCGGGUAGUCC